GAUCCUGGCUCAGGAUGAACGCUAGCUACAGGCUUAACACAUGCAAGUCGAGGGGAAACGAUAUUGGAAGCUUGCUUCCGAUAGGCGUCGACCGGCGCACGGGUGAGUAACGCGUAUCCAACCUGCCCAUCACUUGGGGAUAACCUUGCGAAAGUAAGACUAAUACCCAAUGACGUCUCUAGAAGACAUCUGAAGGAGAUUAAAGAUUUAUCGGUGAUGGAUGGGGAUGCGUCUGAUUAGCUUGUUGGCGGGGUAACGGCCCACCAAGGCGACGAUCAGUAGGGGUUCUGAGAGGAAGGUCCCCCACAUUGGAACUGAGACACGGUCCAAACUCCUACGGGAGGCAGCAGUGAGGAAUAUUGGUCAAUGGGCGAGAGCCUGAACCAGCCAAGUAGCGUGAAGGAUGAAGGUCCUACGGAUUGUAAACUUCUUUUAUACGGGAAUAAAGUAUCCUACGUGUAGGAUUUUGUAUGUACCGUAUGAAUAAGCAUCGGCUAACUCCGUG
Molecule: ribosomal RNA, 505 nt
Filed under: uncultured bacterium
Lineage: Bacteria
Description: bacterial SSU rRNA
Rfam family: Bacterial small subunit ribosomal RNA
Source: RNAcentral